Myodes glareolus (Bank vole) is the source of this 726-nucleotide non-coding RNA. Lineage: Eukaryota; Metazoa; Chordata; Mammalia; Rodentia; Cricetidae. The record is from the annotation of a RefSeq genome assembly.
UCUGUCUGGGUACAAUUCUUGAUACCCUCUCAGGUGGAGAGAAGACAACCCAACAAUUGGACAGUGGCCAUGGAGAGGAAACUGAAAGCUGUGCUGGGGAUUCUGUGGGUGCAGAUUUGCUGGGUGCGAGGGCUUGAUGUGGAGCAGAGUCCUUCAGAUCUAGGUCUCCACGAGGGAACCAAAUCUGCCCUGAGAUGCAAUUUUUCUACCACUAUCAUGAGUGUGCAGUGGUUCCGACAGAAUCCCAGGGGCAGCCUCAUCAGACUGUUUUACUUAACUCCUGGAACAAAGGAGAAUCGAAGGCUAAACUCAACAUUCGACUCCAAGGAGCGCUACAGCACCCUACACAUCAGGGAUGCCCAGCUGGAGGACUCAGGCACCUACCUCUGUGCAGCGGAGGCACAGUGCUUUCUACAAGCCUGCAGCCUGGUCACAAACUGCAGCUGGGUGUGCAGAUGCAGCCCUGACAUGGGGAGACUUGACAGUAGGCUUUUCACAGUGGUGGCUUUAUCAGAUUCCCACCAAUUACAAAAAAUUAUGAGAAAACAAAAUUAACACAGCAGAAAUUCAUGCUUAAAUUCAGUUUGACAUGUCAUUGAUUUGGAUAAGCUUAAAUGUUCAGAAACAUCAGCCCAUAUGACUAAAAUAUAUUCUUUAUUUCGCCAAAUGUUUGUGCUAAUGUCAUGAAAUAUAAGCCUCUCUUACACAUUCCAGAACCAUUUGGAU